AACGAACGCUGGCGGCAUGCCUAACACAUGCAAGUCGAACGAGACCUUCGGGUCUAGUGGCGCACGGGUGCGUAACGCGUGGGAACCUGCCCUUAGGUUCGGAAUAACUCCCCGAAAGGGGUGCUAAUACCGGAUAAUGUCUUCGGACCAAAGAUUUAUCGCCUUUGGAUGGGCCCGCGUUGGAUUAGCUAGUUGGUAGGGUAAAAGCCUACCAAGGCGACGAUCCAUAGCUGGUCUGAGAGGAUGAUCAGCCACACUGGGACUGAGACACGGCCCAGACUCCUACGGGAAGCAGCAGUGGGGAAUAGUGGACAAUGGGCGAAAGCCUGAUCCAGCAAUGCCGCGUGAGUGAUGAAGGCCUUAGGGUUGUAAAGCUCUUUUAACCGGGAUGAUAAUGACAGUACCGGGAGAAUAAGCUCCGGCUAACUCCGUG
RNAcentral lists this ribosomal RNA (433 nucleotides) under uncultured bacterium. Its description in RNAcentral is "partial 16S ribosomal RNA". It matches the Rfam family "Bacterial small subunit ribosomal RNA", at positions 29 to 507 of the family's 1533-position model. The record is from RNAcentral.